RNAcentral lists this ribosomal RNA (372 nucleotides) under uncultured organism. RNAcentral describes it as "bacterial SSU rRNA". It matches the Rfam family "Bacterial small subunit ribosomal RNA", at positions 526 to 896 of the family's 1533-position model. The record is from RNAcentral.
CGUAGGGUGCGAGCGUUAAUCGGAAUUACUGGGCGUAAAGCGUGCGCAGGCGGUUUGUUAAGAUAGGCGUGAAAUCCCCGGGCUCAACCUGGGAACUGCGCUUAUGACUGGCAAGCUAGAGUACGGCAGAGGGGGGUGGAAUUCCACGUGUAGCAGUGAAAUGCGUAGAGAUGUGGAGGAACACCAAUGGCGAAGGCAGCCCCCUGGGUCGAUACUGACGCUCAUGCACGAAAGCGUGGGUAGCAAACAGGAUUAGAUACCCUGGUAGUCCACGCCCUGAACGAUGUCAACUAGGUGUUGGGAGGGUAAAACCUUUUAGUACCGGAGCUAACGCGUGAAGUUGACCGCCUGGGGAGUACGGCCGCAAGGUUA